GGUCUUAUAUUCAUUUUAUGAUGUUAGAAUGCAAUUCUAUCGGAGUGGUAAUUAUCACUAAGGCUU
Molecule: transfer RNA, 66 nt
Filed under: Malaccina sinica
Lineage: Eukaryota; Metazoa; Arthropoda; Insecta; Blattodea; Blattellidae
Description: tRNA-Cys
Source: RNAcentral